This 221-nucleotide ribosomal RNA is filed under the name uncultured bacterium. RNAcentral's name for it is "partial 16S ribosomal RNA". It matches the Rfam family "Bacterial small subunit ribosomal RNA", at positions 524 to 744 of the family's 1533-position model. The record is from RNAcentral.
UACGUAGGGUGCGAGCGUUGUCCGGAAUUAUUGGGCGUAAAGAGCUUGUAGGCGGUUUGUCGCGUCUGCUGUGAAAACUGGAGGCUCAACCUCCAGCCUGCAGUGGGUACGGGCAGACUAGAGUGCGGUAGGGGAGAUUGGAAUUCCUGGUGUAGCGGUGGAAUGCGCAGAUAUCAGGAGGAACACCGAUGGCGAAGGCAGAUCUCUGGGCCGUAACUGAC